RNAcentral lists this long non-coding RNA (2065 nucleotides) under Homo sapiens (human). Its description in RNAcentral is "HSALNT0228871". Lineage: Eukaryota; Metazoa; Chordata; Mammalia; Primates; Hominidae. The record is from RNAcentral.
GUUCAAGCCAGCUUAACUGACAGAUUCCUCUCCUGCUUCCCUAGCCACUGGUAGAUAUGCUUGCCUUCUGCCUCCAUCAGGUGUGAAGAAUUUGAGCUGUUGAGUAAUCCGCCCAAGAUUGUCCAGCUAGCAAGAUUCGAACCCCGCAGCCUGCUCCUGGACCCUGAGCACGGUGCCUUUCCAAGCGUCUCCCUGUUCUCCAGCCACCCAGCACUGCUUUCGGUCAGCCCUUCCGCACACUCUACCCAGACUCCUGCAACCAGCUCCGAACCGGCUCUCUCAUGACACAUCUUGUCAUGGUGACCAUGCGAAGGUGCAAACUGGAUCUCCUCUCCCCUAAAUUAAAAUCUCUUCCUGGAUUUUCAUUUACUACAGGACAAAUGGAGCAGUUCAUAAAAGGUCCCCCUAGAUGGGAUCUCCCGCCCCCUUCAUCCAACGCUUCUUGCCUUCCUGCCCUACAUUCCAGGAAGACUGGACUCAGGGUUUCCAGAGAGUGCAAGCAGUUUCCCCUGCCUGGAAAGUGUGAGUUAUGGCCCACUGCCCCCUCCUCUGACCCCAGGAGGGUCGGCCCCUCCUCCUCAUCACUAUUGUUAUCAUUACAAAUGGCUCCAUUCAGCCAGCGCUUUCUCUGUGCCAGGCACUGUGCUGAAGGCUUUAUAGGCAUCAUUCCCAUCUAACUCUCACCACUCUAUGAUGCAAGUACCAGUAUCCUCCAUCUUCUGGAUAGAAAGACUCAGGCAGAUUACUAAUUCAGCUAGUAUGUAUUUACUAAGUAACUGCUAUAAGCUUGGCACCCUCUUAGAUGCUGAGAAAAAGAGCAGUGAAUAGAACAGGCAAACCUCCCCGCUCUCAUGUAAGCUCACCCAUCAGCUCACAUAUGACCUAUGGUAGUUGUGAUAAGUGAUAUGCAGAAAAUAAAAUAGGGAGUACGGACAGCGUGUGAAGCAGGUUGCAGUGUUCUAAAAAGGUAGUAAGGGAAGGCCUCAAUAAGGUGAUAUGUGAGUAAAGAUGUGGAGGAGAUGAGGGAAUGAGCCAGGCUGGCAUCUCGGAGAAGAGCAUUCUAGGGACGAUGCCUUGAGAAAGAGCAGGGAAUAAGUGGCAAACUUGCUGAAACGUUAUCUGUUGGCCAACCUGACCUCCUGACUGGCAGGUGAGCCCCUCCAAGUGUGGUCAUAACCCCAGCAGCUGGGCACACAGAAGACAUUACUAAAUGAAGGAACCUGGACUCCGAUUCUGAGUGAAACAGUAAAGGGGCACCUUCCUCACCACAACUUUUGUGGACUUGGAACCCUGAGGCUGGUGCCAUUCAUCCUCAGUCCCCAGUGCACAAUCCCCACACACUGUCCACUCCAGACUCUCGGAGAGGAAAGACGUAUUACACCCUUUUCCCUGUGUCUCUGGAACUGGAUCUGUGCACUGUGGGCCUCUCUGGAGUCCUCCUAAACAAAGGGAAGGCACAGGGGUGGUGUGCUGGAAUGCAAGAUCCCUGAGACCCCACCGGGGGCAGGGAGGCCUGAUUCCAACUAGGCACUGCAGUCUCAUUUGCACCAUCUUCUCACGUUUCACAAGAAAAAUGGAGCUGUUAAGACAUCCAAAGAGCAAGUCAAACUGAUAUCAAAUCCCUGAAAGCUCUAAGAAACGAGUGCAAGGCCAUUGGGUUAUAUGGCAUGCAAAAAUGCACCACCAAGGGAGAGGACAGCCCUGUCCUCUGUGUAUAGCAGGUGUUGGCAGAGGGUGAAAAACGUAGCUAAGACCAGACCAAACCAAGACCGAAUUCCAGAGGGGUUUGCAGAAGGUAGACCCAACCCACCCAGCAAGGUGAAAUCUACCAGAUGACCCUCGUGGAGAAGCCUGAGAAAGGAACAGGGUCGCAGAGAGGAAACCUGAAGCAUCCAUCUGGGAGAACCCAGGAAGGAGUGAAGAGCAAUGGAAAGUGAAUGUAUUAGUAAAUCGAAGUGAUUAACCGUUCAACGUUAUGUUAGAUGAUGUACACAGAAUUAGAACAUAUGACACAGAACCCAGCUGGGAGAAAGGGGAUACUGGGGUGGGGGAGGACCUCAAGCUA